Molecule: ribosomal RNA, 3010 nt
Filed under: Salmonella enterica subsp. enterica serovar Anatum
Lineage: Bacteria; Pseudomonadati; Pseudomonadota; Gammaproteobacteria; Enterobacterales; Enterobacteriaceae
Description: 23S ribosomal RNA
Rfam family: Bacterial large subunit ribosomal RNA
Source: RNAcentral
GGGUUGUGAGGUUAAGCGACUAAGCGUACACGGUGGAUGCCCUGGCAGUCAGAGGCGAUGAAGGGCGUGCUAAUCUGCGAUAAGCGCCGGUAAGGUGAUAUGAACCGUUAUAACCGGCGAUACCCGAAUGGGGAAACCCAGUGUGAUUCGUCACACUAUCAUUAACUGAAUCCAUAGGUUAAUGAGGCGAACCGGGGGAACUGAAACAUCUAAGUACCCCGAGGAAAAGAAAUCAACCGAGAUUCCCCCAGUAGCGGCGAGCGAACGGGGAGGAGCCCAGAGCCUGAAUCAGCAUGUGUGUUAGUGGAAGCGUCUGGAAAGGCGCGCGAUACAGGGUGACAGCCCCGUACACAAAAGCGCAUGUGCUGUGAGCUCGAUGAGUAGGGCGGGACACGUGGUAUCCUGUCUGAAUAUGGGGGGACCAUCCUCCAAGGCUAAAUACUCCUGACUGACCGAUAGUGAACCAGUACCGUGAGGGAAAGGCGAAAAGAACCCCGGCGAGGGGAGUGAAAAAGAACCUGAAACCGUGUACGUACAAGCAGUGGGAGCACAGGUUUACCUGUGUGACUGCGUACCUUUUGUAUAAUGGGUCAGCGACUUAUAUUCUGUAGCAAGGUUAACCGUAUAGGGGAGCCGUAGGGAAACCGAGUCUUAACCGGGCGUUAAGUUGCAGGGUAUAGACCCGAAACCCGGUGAUCUAGCCAUGGGCAGGUUGAAGGUUGGGUAACACUAACUGGAGGACCGAACCGACUAAUGUUGAAAAAUUAGCGGAUGACCUGUGGCUGGGGGUGAAAGGCCAAUCAAACCGGGAGAUAGCUGGUUCUCCCCGAAAGCUAUUUAGGUAGCGCCUCGUGAAUUCAUCUCCGGGGGUAGAGCACUGUUUCGGCUAGGGGGCCAUCCCGGCUUACCAACCCGAUGCAAACUGCGAAUACCGGAGAAUGUUAUCACGGGAGACACACGGCGGGUGCUAACGUCCGUCGUGAAGAGGGAAACAACCCAGACCGCCAGCUAAGGUCCCAAAGUCAUGGUUAAGUGGGAAACGAUGUGGGAAGGCCCAGACAGCCAGGAUGUUGGCUUAGAAGCAGCCAUCAUUUAAAGAAAGCGUAAUAGCUCACUGGUCGAGUCGGCCUGCGCGGAAGAUGUAACGGGGCUAAACCAUGCACCGAAGCUGCGGCAGCGAACGUAUCACUUAAAGCGAUUCAGCGGGUUACGAUUGACGGAGCGAAGCGACGUCAAAGCGUAUACAAAGUCGAGUCGGUUUAAGGAUACGUUCGUUGGGUAGGGGAGCGUUCUGUAAGCCUGCGAAGGUGGCCUGUGAGGGUUGCUGGAGGUAUCAGAAGUGCGAAUGCUGACAUAAGUAACGAUAAAGCGGGUGAAAAGCCCGCUCGCCGGAAGACCAAGGGUUCCUGUCCAACGUUAAUCGGGGCAGGGUGAGUCGACCCCUAAGGCGAGGCCGAAAGGCGUAGUCGAUGGGAAACGGGUUAAUAUUCCCGUACUUGGUGUUACUGCGAAGGGGGGACGGAGAAGGCUAUGUUGGCCGGGCGACGGUUGUCCCGGUUUAAGCGUGUAGGUGUGUGUUCCAGGUAAAUCCGGUUCACUUUAACACUGAGGCGUGAUGACGAGGCACUACGGUGCUGAAGCAACAAAUGCCCUGCUUCCAGGAAAAGCCUCUAAGCAUCAGGUAACAUCAAAUCGUACCCCAAACCGACACAGGUGGUCAGGUAGAGAAUACCAAGGCGCUUGAGAGAACUCGGGUGAAGGAACUAGGCAAAAUGGUGCCGUAACUUCGGGAGAAGGCACGCUGACACGUAGGUGAAGUGAUUUACUCAUGGAGCUGAAGUCAGUCGAAGAUACCAGCUGGCUGCAACUGUUUAUUAAAAACACAGCACUGUGCAAACACGAAAGUGGACGUAUACGGUGUGACGCCUGCCCGGUGCCGGAAGGUUAAUUGAUGGGGUCAGCGCAAGCGAAGCUCCUGAUCGAAGCCCCGGUAAACGGCGGCCGUAACUAUAACGGUCCUAAGGUAGCGAAAUUCCUUGUCGGGUAAGUUCCGACCUGCACGAAUGGCGUAAUGAUGGCCAGGCUGUCUCCACCCGAGACUCAGUGAAAUUGAACUCGCUGUGAAGAUGCAGUGUACCCGCGGCAAGACGGAAAGACCCCGUGAACCUUUACUAUAGCUUGACACUGAACAUUGAGCCUUGAUGUGUAGGAUAGGUGGGAGGCUUUGAAGCGUGGACGCCAGUCUGCGUGGAGCCGACCUUGAAAUACCACCCUUUAAUGUUUGAUGUUCUAACGUGGACCCGUAAUCCGGGUUGCGGACAGUGUCUGGUGGGUAGUUUGACUGGGGCGGUCUCCUCCUAAAGAGUAACGGAGGAGCACGAAGGUUGGCUAAUCCUGGUCGGACAUCAGGAGGUUAGUGCAAUGGCAUAAGCCAGCUUGACUGCGAGCGUGACGGCGCGAGCAGGUGCGAAAGCAGGUCAUAGUGAUCCGGUGGUUCUGAAUGGAAGGGCCAUCGCUCAACGGAUAAAAGGUACUCCGGGGAUAACAGGCUGAUACCGCCCAAGAGUUCAUAUCGACGGCGGUGUUUGGCACCUCGAUGUCGGCUCAUCACAUCCUGGGGCUGAAGUAGGUCCCAAGGGUAUGGCUGUUCGCCAUUUAAAGUGGUACGCGAGCUGGGUUUAGAACGUCGUGAGACAGUUCGGUCCCUAUCUGCCGUGGGCGCUGGAGAACUGAGGGGGGCUGCUCCUAGUACGAGAGGACCGGAGUGGACGCAUCACUGGUGUUCGGGUUGUCAUGCCAAUGGCACUGCCCGGUAGCUAAAUGCGGAAGAGAUAAGUGCUGAAAGCAUCUAAGCACGAAACUUGCCCCGAGAUGAGUUCUCCCUGAGACUUAGAGUCUCCUGAAGGAACGUUGAAGACGACGACGUUGAUAGGCCGGGUGUGUAAGCGCAGCGAUGCGUUGAGCUAACCGGUACUAAUGAACCGUGAGGCUUAACCUUACAACGCCGAAG